AUGUAUUGGUACGGCCUCAAGCGCCUGUUGUCGUGAACAUCCAAUGUCAAUUGCCCCAGUGGCUAAUUCAUUGGUAAUAUCAAGUGUGUAGCAGCAGUUUGUAGGCCCUACUUAGUGCCUUCUGUCUACUAGUCUUUUUCUUCACACAUAGUCGUCAAUCUGUGUCUUUUGUUCUUCUAUGCYCUUGUAUGUUUAUGUAAAUUGUUCUAUCCCCCCUCCUCUUAUUGGAAAGUCCAGUGAAGCAAGUGUUGCCAACUGUCCCGUACUAGCCGGGAUGUCCAUUAUAUUGGGCUAAAUUGGUUUGUCCCAUACGGGAUCUCCCUUGUCCAGUAUAUUCAUCCAAUCACAGUAAUAGCGUAAACGCGCCAAUUCCUGCAAAGUAAUUUCUGUUGUUGUUCGGUCUGUUUGGCAUAUCAAGGAAAUAUGGAUAAACCUGCAAAAAAGAAAAGUCCAGGAGCCUGUAUCUGGGUAUGAACUUGAGCAAACAAUGGGAAGCAAAAAAGACGUGGGUUAAGGCUGUCAGUGGUGACUCGACGACAGCUUUCUGUACUUUAUGCCGUCGGGAAUUCUCAAUUGGCCAUGGAGGGGAGAGUGACCAAACUCAGCAUGCAUCCACAGAAAUGCACACCGCCACGCUAGCUAAAGGUGCUAGCAAUAUCUGUGCAUUCUUCGUGACGCCUACUGCGGAGAAUGACGAUCUGCCUCCUACGGAAGAUUGAGCACCUGGACCUGGUCCACCACAUGUUGCUCUAUGGCUGCCCCUUGUCUUUGAACCAGACCCACGUGCAGAAAUGCUUCACGGGGGGACCAGCGGACGAAUGCUUCAGAGUGGUGUUUGCCUGGGGUGUGGGAGGAGGGGCUUUCGAUCUUCCAGAAAUUCGCUGGCAUCCCUAUUGGAGGACAGGAUUAUGAUGACUUCUACAGGCUGGUAAUUUACUACAGCAACCCAGCCCAACAACCCAUUUCACUAGCUACUAGCUGGAUUAUCAUGCCACAAGCAAUGGAUUCCCCUUGGUGGAUGAGAAACAGAACUACACCCUCCUGACUGAGGCAGAUGGUCAAACCACAUUGACCUUCUGGAGGACCAUCCAAUCAUGUGACGAGGAAAACUUCCGCAUCACUGCGAGUCAACUGUUUCGCAGACAAACUGUUAAAAAGUAAAGCGAACUGAAAGCGCUGUAAUGGGAAUUGUAAUGUUUGUGCUUUUCUUAUAACUAAUUUCUGUGUUCUACUCAUGUGCUGUUCUUAUAACUAAGAUUGACUUCGAGUGUCCCUGUGUAAGAAUUUCAACAAAAGUGCUAAAAGUAUUAAAGCGGAACAUCAUGUUCCCUUAUCAUUGA
Long non-coding RNA from Salvelinus sp. IW2-2015, 1340 nucleotides. RefSeq lists it as uncharacterized. The transcript is spliced from 4 exons. Lineage: Eukaryota; Metazoa; Chordata; Actinopteri; Salmoniformes; Salmonidae. The record is from RefSeq and is a predicted model, not a curated record.